AGUCGAGCGGACGGAUGGGAGCUUGCUCCCUGAUGUUAGCGGCGAACGGGUGAGUACCACGUGGGCAACCUGCCCUGUAGACUGGGAUAACAUCGAGAAAUCGGUGCUAAUACCGGAUAAUCUUGAGGAUCACAUGAUCUUCUUGUGAAAGAUGGCUCCGGCUAUCACUACAGGAUGGGCCCGCGGCGCAUUAGCUAGUUGGUGAGGUAACGGCUCACCAAGGCGACGAUGCGUAGCCGACCUGAGAGGGUGAUCGGCCACACUGGGACUGAGACACGGCCCAGACUCCUACGGGAGGCAGCAGUAGGGAAUCUUCCGCAAUGGACGAAAGUCUGACGGAGCAACGCCGCGUGAGUGAUGAAGGGUUUCGGCUCGUAAAGCUCUGUUGUUAGGGAAGAACAAGUAUCGUUCGAAUAGGGCGGUACCUUGACGGUACCUAACCAGAAAGCCACGGCUAACUACGUGCCAGCAGCCGCGGUAAUACGUAGGUGGCAAGCGUUGUCCGGAAUUAUUGGGCGUAAAGCGCGCGCAGGCGGUUUCUUAAGUCUGAUGUGAAAGCCCCCGGCUCAACCGGGGAGGGUCAUUGGAAACUGGGAGACUUGAGUACAGAAGAGGAGAGUGGAAUUCCACGUGUAGCGGUGAAAUGCGUAGAUAUGUGGAGGAACACCAGUGGCGAAG
RNAcentral lists this ribosomal RNA (678 nucleotides) under uncultured Bacilli bacterium. Its description in RNAcentral is "bacterial SSU rRNA". It matches the Rfam family "Bacterial small subunit ribosomal RNA", at positions 60 to 720 of the family's 1533-position model. The record is from RNAcentral. Lineage: Bacteria; Bacillati; Bacillota; Bacilli.